RNAcentral lists this ribosomal RNA (440 nucleotides) under uncultured bacterium. Its description in RNAcentral is "partial 16S ribosomal RNA". It matches the Rfam family "Bacterial small subunit ribosomal RNA", at positions 338 to 795 of the family's 1533-position model. The record is from RNAcentral.
CCUACGGGAGGCAGCAGUGGGGAAUAUUGCACAAUGGGGGAAACCCUGAUGCAGCGACGCCGCGUGAGUGAAGAAGUAUCUCGGUACGUAAAGCUCUAUCAGCAGGGAAGAAAAUGACGGUACCUGACUAAGAAGCCCCGGCUAACUACGUGCCAGCAGCCGCGGUAAUACGUAGGGGGCAAGCGUUAUCCGGAUUUACUGGGUGUAAAGGGAGCGGAGACGGCAGCACAAGUCUGGAGUGAAAUCCCGGGGCUUAACCCCGGAACUGCGUUGGAAACUGGGCGGCUGAAGGGCAGGAGGGGUAAGCGGAAUUCCUAGUGUAGCGGUGAAAUGCGUAGAUAUUAGGAGGAACACCGGUGGCGAAGGCGGCUUACUGGACUGUAACUGACGUUGAGGCUCGAAAGCGUGGGGAGCAAACAGGAUUAGAUACCCGGGUAGUC